RNAcentral lists this ribosomal RNA (248 nucleotides) under uncultured prokaryote. Its description in RNAcentral is "partial 16S ribosomal RNA". It matches the Rfam family "Bacterial small subunit ribosomal RNA", at positions 524 to 772 of the family's 1533-position model. The record is from RNAcentral.
UACGGAGGAUGCAAGCGUUAUCCGGAUUUAUUGGGUUUAAAGGGUGCGCAGGUUGUUUGAUAAGUCAGUGGUGAAAGUCUGUCGCUUAACGGUAGGAUUGCCAUUGAUACUGCUGGACUUGAAUAUGGAUGAGGUAGGCGGAAUGUGUAGUGUAGCGGUGAAAUGCAUAGAUAUUACACAGAACACCGAUUGCGAAGGCAGCUUACUAAUCCAUCAUUGACGCUGAGGCACGAAAGCGUGGGAUCAAA